CACGGAGUUAGCCGGUGCUUAUUCAUACUGUACCUUCAGCUACUUACACGUAAGUAGGUUUAUCCCAGUAUAAAAGAAGUUUACAACCCAUAGGGCCUUAGUCCUUCACGCGGGAUGGCUGGAUCAGGCUCUCACCCAUUGUCCAAUAUUCCUCACUGCUGCCUCCCGUAGGAGUCUGGUCCGUGUCUCAGUACCAGUGUGGGGGAUCACCCUCUCAGGCCCCCUAAAGAUCACUGACUUGGUGAGCCGUUACCUCACCAACUAUCUAAUCUUGCGCGUGCCCAUCUCUAUCCACCGGAGUUUUCAAUAUCCUACGAUGCCGUAAAAUAUAUUAUGGGGUAUUAAUCUUCCUUUCGAAAGGCUAUCCCCCAGAUAAAGGCAGGUUGCACACGUGUUCCGCACCCGUGCGCCGCUCUCAAAGAUCCGAAGAUCUUCUACCGCUCGGCUUGCAUGUGUUAGGCCUCCCGCUAGCGUUCAUCCUGAGCCAGGAUCAAACUCU
RNAcentral lists this ribosomal RNA (499 nucleotides) under uncultured Flavobacteriaceae bacterium. RNAcentral describes it as "partial 16S ribosomal RNA". The record is from RNAcentral. Lineage: Bacteria; Pseudomonadati; Bacteroidota; Flavobacteriia; Flavobacteriales; Flavobacteriaceae.